CGGGACGUAGCGAAGCUUGUUAUCGCGUUCGCUUCGGGAGCGAAAGAUCGUGGGUUAAAAUCCCACCGUCCCGGCCA
This is a transfer RNA of 77 nucleotides. It matches the Rfam family "tRNA". From Rfam's summary of the family: Transfer RNA (tRNA) molecules are approximately 80 nucleotides in length. Their secondary structure includes four short double-helical elements and three loops (D, anti-codon, and T loops).